GGCGACGUAGCCAAGAGGGAAGGCGGGAGUCUGCAAAACUCUUAUUCACCGGUUCGAUUCCGGUCGUCGCCUCCA
This 75-nucleotide transfer RNA is filed under the name Candidatus Omnitrophota bacterium. RNAcentral describes it as "Candidatus Omnitrophica bacterium tRNA-Cys". It matches the Rfam family "tRNA". Rfam says of the family: Transfer RNA (tRNA) molecules are approximately 80 nucleotides in length. Their secondary structure includes four short double-helical elements and three loops (D, anti-codon, and T loops). Further hydrogen bonds mediate the characteristic L-shaped molecular structure. tRNAs have two regions of fundamental functional importance: the anti-codon, which is responsible for specific mRNA codon recognition, and the 3' end, to which the tRNAs corresponding amino acid is attached (by aminoacyl-tRNA synthetases). tRNAs cope with the degeneracy of the genetic code in two manners: having more than one tRNA (with a specific anti-codon) for a particular amino acid; and 'wobble' base-pairing, i.e. permitting non-standard base-pairing at the 3rd anti-codon position. The record is from RNAcentral. Lineage: Bacteria; Pseudomonadati; Candidatus Omnitrophota.